GCCCUGGUGGCAAAGUGGUUAAAGCACUCAACUGCUAAUUGAGAGGUUGCUGGUUCAAACCCACAGGUCG
This 70-nucleotide transfer RNA is filed under the name Loxodonta africana (African savanna elephant). It matches the Rfam family "tRNA". Rfam says of the family: Transfer RNA (tRNA) molecules are approximately 80 nucleotides in length. The record is from Rfam by way of RNAcentral. Lineage: Eukaryota; Metazoa; Chordata; Mammalia; Proboscidea; Elephantidae.